AUAGGGAAGAAUUUGUUUUUAGGAAGAUUUGUGAUGGGAAAAUCAAAACCUUUUUGUUCACAAUUUGCAGAUCUUUAUGAAGUUUCCAUUCUAAAAAAUAUCACCAUCUCAGCAAUCCUUGACAAUUGUUUUUCUUCUUCUUUGUCUUAGGAUAUGAACUUUCAUCGCAACCUCACAGAUUAGGAAACUAAGAGUCUUGAAAGGCUUAUGUCUUCACUCACCCUAAUCCAUUUAUCUCCUUUUAUCUUAGAUACGAGAGCUUGGCCACUAUCCUCCUUAGGUUUAUUCUCAAUAAAAUCUUUCUUUUUUGCCUCCAAUUUAUUAUUUUCAGGUUUGUUGUUUCCGACCAGAUUUGCAUGAAACUCAGGCUUAAGCUUUUGCAUAGUUAAUCGUGCACAAGAAAGUGAACACCAAUGACAUGUUACAGUUGAGAAGAUCUUACAAAUCCCUUAACCCUGAUCAUUGCAUCUUAUGUAUGGUACAAGUCAUUUAGUCUAACCAAGAUGGAUUGAGUUCCACCUAAGAACAUAUACGACAUUGUGAGUGUUUAGUUAAGUUGGCAAUUCUAGACAAAAUUUCUCUCCUUCUUUGGCAAAUUCAAAAGCGUGGUCUUUGUCAUCUUCAGGCCUGUUUUCAAUGAAAUCUUUUUUCUUGACCUUGUCAAAAGUCUCAAAUCCUAUCUUGUUCCUUCCGGCCAAGUUCUUGUGGAGUUCAAAAGCCCCCUCAAAGGUUAAGGCCCUCGCUUGGUUAGUAGCACAUGGGAAGGUAAACACCAAUGACAAGUUGCAAUUGAGAAGACCCUACAAAUCCCUCUAUCCUCAAUGGUGCAUUCUUUGCAAAGGAAAUGGAGAAUCGAUAGACCACCUUUUUCUUCAUUGCCCUGUUACCAUUGGACUCUGGCACAAGUUGUUCAAUCUAGCAGGGUUGGCUUGGGUUCCUCCAAGGAGUAUUGAGGACAUGUUGGUUAUUGCUUUUAAAGGAUUGGGGAACUCAUUAAGAGGCAAGACACUUUGGCAAAUCGCUUGCCUUACUUUGUUAUGGAUGGUAUGGCAAGAGAGAAACAAUAGGAUCUUUGAGGAUAAGAGGAGAACAGAAGAGAUGUUAUGGGACUUGAUUCUAUUCUAUUCCUCUCUUUGGGCCUCUUGUACUGCAGCUUUUAGAGGAGUUCCUCUAAGUGUUUUACAACUCAACUGGACUACGGUUUGCGCUCCAAAAGUUUGAGUGUUGGGGUUUUUCUGUGUUUUUAGUUUUCUUUAGUUGGGUGUUUUCUCUUUUGUUUCAGUUUUUGUUUUGUGAGAAGGACCUCUCAUCCUUCUCUUGGUUUCUUGUCUUUCUCUUGUAUCUCUUCUUUCUCCUGUAUCUUUUCCUCUAUUAAUAUACUUUUCUUCGUUUCUGAUCAAAAAAAAAAAAAAUUCUAAAUGUCUCCUAACUCGGUUUUUCUAAAUCCUUCUUCAAACUACUUGUCUAAUGAAGAUCUAAGUUGUUAAAUUUGCUAAGAGACUAAGGUAUGUAAUUGAGGUUAGAGCUGAAUGAAAUUGAAUCAACCAUAUCUUUCGAAUUAUUGUUUUUCUUAAAAUACCUUUUUAAGGAGAUAGGAAGGCUUGGGAAGCAUUUUUUUUACUAAGUGUUCAAAAUGCCUUGUUCUAGGAUUGAUCUAGCUUCAUAUUAGAUCGAUUCAGAUUGCAAUUUCUUGAUCUUAUUUCAUCUGUUAGAUCAAAGCUUUCUUUUAACUUAAAAAGAAAAAUAUCACUUCCAAAAAGACAGAGAUACUAGUAGUCGUUCCCCCUUGUGCUCUCUCUUUCUUACCAAAGUUAGGGUGUUUGUUUGCUAAGAAAAUCUCAUUUUCUUCAUGAUUUUCAAGUUGUUUUCCACAAAUUUUCUUGAGAAAAAAUAAGUUAAUUCCUUCAGUCAUUCAUCUCUUAAUUUUUAGCUAUUUGGGUUUGGAUGAAACCCAUUUUAUUUUUGUGUGGAUUCAAGAAGAGGCCGAGAUCAAACUUGGUGUGGACUCCAAGUGUGCUCCGGAAGAAGGCAUGAAGCGGAAAGUGGAAACGUGUUAGUCAAGUGAUUCAUGAAGGAUUAGUUCGCUUGAACUAGGUAAAACCUUAUAUUCAGUUUUUGUUUUUCAUAGUGGACGUUUUUUAUCGGUUGUAGGUCUAUGGUUUUUUAUUUCUUCGGAGGUUUUCCAAGUAAAUUUUGGGGUCAUUGCCCCUCUUUCUCUUAUUCUAUUCCUUAAUUUAUUUUCAGUGUUAGUUUUCAUUUAUUACUUAUGGAUAUAAGUUGAAUGGAUGAACAAUGCACUAAAAUAGGUGUGAUCUUCUAAGGAUGUCAUGAAUAUUUUUUUCUAUUUAUUUUGCUAUAGAUAUUCAGUGGAAAUUAAAAUUUGUGUUAUUGAGAAAUUAUUCUUAUGAACUAUGUUGGGGAGUGUUGAAACAUGUGCAUGUGACUUGCAUUUGAAAAUUAUUGGGAGAGUGUUGUUGCAUUCAUACUUGCAUGUGACUUCUACUCUUAUUGGAAAGUAUUUGAAGAGAUGAGAAAUUUUAUGGUAAGAUAAUAUGUUUUUGAAUUGGUUGAAAAAACCUAUUCACCCCCGUUUAGGUGUAGGCCAUCAUUGAGAUUCACCUUCACACAUAAUGACCAUCUCUUUUAGAGAUUUUGAGAGUUCUGUUAGAGGCAUGACCCUUUGAAAAAUUGUUUGCCCCACUUUGCCUUAGAUCAUGUGGUGAGAGAGAAAUGUCGGGAUCUUUGAGGAAAACUGGAGGGCGAUAGAAACAUCGUGGGAUCUACCUAAUUUCCAUUCCUUUUUAUGAGUUUUUUGUCCUACUGGAUUUAAAGGCACUCCCUCAGUAUUAUUCAAUUGGCAUUUGGCUUGUAAUUAAAAAGGGGUGGACAACAAUUAGAGAAGCUUACAGAGGGAGACGAGGGGAUUUCGCGCUGCAAUUUCGUAAAUAAGGUGUGUCCUCCUUUCUCAGCUUUAUCCGAGCAGGGUCUUCCUUUGGUUGGGGCUUUUGAUCCAAAAUUUCUUCCCGACUCCUCUGUUUCUUCUGUUCGUCCUUCUCGUAGUCAUCCUUUUUUUUUAUUCCGUUGGAGUCAAGCCUUGGCUUUCAGCGUGGUCUCUUUUCAAUUUCUCCUGUUGUUGAUCUCAGUCGUCAUGGUGGCGUGUCCUGUUCUGAAGGUGUGGCGUUUCCCCUAGAAACCUCUAACUGAAAUUUUAAAGACUGCCCUUUCCUUGGGGAAUCACUCAAUAACCCAAAGGAGCUUUGUGUCUCAGGCAAGGCUUCGUCCCCAGAGCUAGAACCUCCCACCCUCCCGUUGGAAGGUUUUCAGGUUGAGGGACUCACACCUAUGAAGAUGGUCAAGGUUCAAUCGGUUUUGGAGAGUUUGAGCAUUAGAAUUGUCAGAGAUAAUGGAAAAAGUGCGGAAGUAGAGAGCAAGAGUACUCUUUCAGCGGAUAAGGUUUAUUUCAGAAGGAAGAGGAAAAAUGACUCUGGAACCCGAUGAGAGGAUUAGGUUUGGUUGCUGGUUGUGCUGGGUUGUUUUUGUUUACAUGAAGAUCUUAAGUUGGAAUACAAGAGGAUUAGGUUCCAAGAAGAAAAUGAGGACCAUCAGAAGGUUUUUAAGUACUCAAAGUCCAGAUGUUGUGGUGCUUCAGGAAACAAAGAGAGUAAUUUGGGACAGGAGGUUUGUGAGCAGUGUCUGGAAAGGCAGAAGCUUGGAGUGGGUUGUUUUUCCUGCUUGUGGGGCUUCAGGGGAGAUUGUGAUUUUGUGGGAUUAAAAUAAGUUCAAGUGUACAGAGAAGGUGUUAGGAUCUUUCUCUGUAACUGUGAAGUUGAACUCUGGUGAGGAAGGGUCUUUUUGGUUAACCUCAAUGUAUGGCCCGAAUAAGCCUUUGUGGAGGAAGGACUUUUGGUUAGAGCUUCAAGAUCUGUAUGGUCUGACCUUCCCAAGGUGGUGUGUAGGAGGGGAUUUUAAUGUUAUCAGGAGGAUCUCUGAGAAGAUGGGUGAUUCUAGGUUAACAUUCAACAUGAGGUGUUUUGACGAGUUUAUAAGGGAGAGUGGUUUGUUGGAUCCCCCACUAAGGAAUGCGGCUUUUACGUGGUCAAACAUGCAAGUUGUUCCUAUAUACAAGAGAUUGGAUAGGUUUUUGUUUUCUUCUGAGUGGGAUUCUUUUUACUCUCAAAGUUUUCAAGAGGCCCUUCCUAGAUGAACCUCUGAUCAUAGCCCAAUUUGUUUGGAAACUAAUCCUUUAAAAUGGGGUCCGACUCCUUUUAGGUUUGAGAAUAUGUGGUUGCUCCAUCCUAAGUUUAAAGAGAAGUUUAGAGAUUGGUGGCAAGAGUGUACGGUUGAAGGUUGGGAAGGUCACAAGUUCAUGAGGAAAUUAAAGUUUGUUAAAUCAAAGUUGAAAGAGUGGAAUAUAGUGGCCUUUGGAGAUUUAAGAGAGAGGAAAAAGCACAUUCUUUCGGACUUAGGUAGAAUUGAUCUAAUUGAACAAGAAGGGAAUUUAAAUCUUGAUUUAGUAUCGGAAAGGACCUUAAGAAGAAGGGAGCUAGAGGAUUUGUUAUUAAAGGAAGAAGUUCAAUGGAGACAAAAAUCUAGGGUCAAGUGGAUUAAAGAAGGGGAUUGCAACUCUAAGUUCUUUCACAGAAUGGCCACUAAAAGAAGAAGCAGGAAGUUCAUUAAGUCUCUGAUUUCUGAGAAGGGGGAGACUUUAAGUAACAUUGAGGUUAUCUCUGAGGAGCUUGUAAAUUUCUUUGGGAAACUCUAUUCCAAACCUGAAGGUGAUUCUUGGAGGAUUGAAGGAAUUGAUUGGGUCCCUAUUUCCGGAGAGAGUGCAAUCUGGCUAGAUAGGCCUUUUUCUGAAGAGGAGGUACGAAUGGCAGUUUUCCAAUUGAAUAAGGAAAAGACCCCUGGCCCUAAUGGCUUUACUAUAGCAGUUUAUCAAGAGUGUUAGGAUCUGAUAAAAGAGGAUCUUAUGAGGGUGUUUCUUGAGUUCCACACCAAGGGGGUAAUAAAUCAAAGUACAAAUGCGACAUUCAUUGCUAUGGUGCCUAAGAAAAUCCAAACUUUUAAAAUCUCAUAUUAUAGACCUAUUAGCUUGGUUACAAGUUUAUAUAAGAUAAUUGUUAAGGUCUUAUCAAGGCGUUUACGCAAAAUUCUUCAUUAAACAAUCUCUGGCUCUCAAGGAGCCUUUGUUGAAGGGAGACACAUUUUGGAUGCUGUGUUGAUAGCCAAUGAAGUGGUGGAUGAGAAAAUAAGGUCAAGGGAGGAAGGGGUUAGUCUUCAAAAUCGAUUUUGAGAAGGCUUAUGAUCAUGUGGAUUGAGGGUUUUUAGAUCAUGUGCUACAAAGGAAGGGGUUCAGCCAGAAAUGGAGAUCUUGGAUAAGGGGUUGUUUGUCUUCAUCAAGUUUUGCAACCCUAGUUAAUGGAAAUGCAAAGGGUUGGGUUAAGGCCUCUAGAGGUUUGAGACAAGGAGACCCCCUUUCUCCUUUCCUUUUUACUCUAGUGGCAAAUGUUUUAAGUAGGUUGAUGAUCAGAGCAGAGGAAACUGGGAUAACUGAGGGUUUCUUUGUGGGGAGGGAUAGGACUAGAGUGUCUUUGUUACAGUUUGCUGAUGACGCCAUCUUUUUCUCUAAAGCCUCUAUGGAACAUCUUCAAAACCUCAAGAUUAUCCUUUUGGUUUUUGGGCAAGUAUCUGGUUUAAAAAUCAACUUAGAAAAAAGCACCAUUUCAGGUAUUAACACUAGGCAGGAGUUGUUGUCUAGUUUGGCCUCAAUUUUGGAUUGCAGAGUGUCAGAGUGGCCUUUGUCUUAUUUAGGUCUUCCAUUAGGAGGGAACCCAAAUACAAUAGGCUUUUGGGAUCUGGUGGUUGAGAAAAUUUCGAGGAGGCUAGAUUGUUGGAAAAAGGCCUUUUUGUCUUUGGGAGGGAGGAUUACUUUAAUUCAGUCUUGUCUGUCUCACAUCUCUAGCUACUUCCUCUCCCUCUUUAAAACCCCAGCAUCAAUAGCUUCAAAGAUUGAGAAGAUGCAAAGGGAUUUUCUUUGGUCUAGGGUGGGGGAAGGGAAGAAAGAUCAUCUUAUCAGAUGGGAGGUUGUUAGUAAACCAAAGAAGUUGGGAGGUUUGGGUUUUGGGAAGACUUCUAUGAGAAAUAUUGCUCUCUUAGGGAAAUGGCUUUGGAGGUUCCCUAGAGAAAGGAGUGGUCUUUGGCAUAAGGUUAUUGCGAGUAUAUAUGGGACACAUCCUAAUGGAUGGGACGCCAACAUGGUGAUUAGAUGGUCACACAAAUGUCCUUGGAAGGCUAUUGCUCAAGUUUUCCAGGUUUUUCCCCUUUUGUCCGCCUAGUGGUGGGUAAUGGGGAGAGAAUUCGUUUUUGGGAAGAUCUUUGGUGGGGUAACCAAACUUUGUGUUCUCAAUUUGCUGAUCUUUACAGAGUUAUUUCUAUGAAAAACCUCACUGUCUCAAAUGUCUUUGGCAAUUCCUUUCCACUGUCUUUGAAUUUUAACUUUCGCAGUAAUCUUACGGAUUCAGAAAUUGAUCUCCUUCAGAGAUUAAUGUCCUCCCUUAGUUCUAUGUUUUUCUCUCCUUCUUUGGCAGGUUCAAGAGCGUGAUCUUUGUCUUUGUCAGGAUUGUUUUCAGUGAAAUAUUUUUUCUUAACCUUGUCAAAAGUCUCAAAUCCUAUCUUGUUCCUUCCGGCCAAGUUCUUG
This 6697-nucleotide long non-coding RNA is filed under the name Vitis vinifera (wine grape). RNAcentral describes it as "long non-coding RNA (VVIN_LNC001414)". Lineage: Eukaryota; Viridiplantae; Streptophyta; Magnoliopsida; Vitales; Vitaceae. The record is from RNAcentral.